RNAcentral lists this long non-coding RNA (308 nucleotides) under Vigna radiata. RNAcentral describes it as "long non-coding RNA (VRAD_LNC016442)". Lineage: Eukaryota; Viridiplantae; Streptophyta; Magnoliopsida; Fabales; Fabaceae. The record is from RNAcentral.
GGUAGCAACAGUGUGUUGUUUUUUCUUUUUGGAUGAAGAAAGAGGGUCACACAUCAUUUUGAACUCCGAUUGCUUUACUUUCAAAAGAUUAACCCUGCGACUAGAUGACCUCAACAUAAGUCGUUUUUUUUUUUUAUUUCUUUUAGACUACCCUUUCAGGUUUUCAUUCUAGUUGACUUAUUAUUCUUUUUUUUUUGAAAAUUCUUUUUUUGUCUCAAUGGAUUCAGGGAUCACCCUAUUAGCGCAAGCAAGAAAUCUUUUAGUCAGACCGAAUUGCCCCAAAGUAAAGGUUUACUUUGUUACUGAGG